AACAAGGUUUUCCGGUUCUGCCGGAACAGAGUGACAGGUGCUGCAUGGCUGUCGUCAGCUCGUGUCGUGAGAUGUUGGGUUAAGUCCCGCAACGAGCGUAACCCUUGUCUUUAGUUGCCAGUAUUCAGUUAGGCACUCUAAAGAGACUGCCUCGGUUAACGGGGAGGAAGGUGGGGGAUGACGUCAAGUCAUCAUGGCCCUUAUGACCGGGGCUACACACGUACUACAAUGGUCGGUACAGACGGUCGCAAGCUCGCGAGAGUAAGCUAAUCCGAGAAAACCGAUCGUAGUCCGGAUCGCAGUCUGCAACUCGACUGCGUGAAGUCGGAAUCGCUAGUAAUCGCAAAUCAGAAUGUUGCGGUGAAUACGUUCCCGGGCCUU
This 381-nucleotide ribosomal RNA is filed under the name uncultured Thiovirga sp. Its description in RNAcentral is "bacterial SSU rRNA". It matches the Rfam family "Bacterial small subunit ribosomal RNA", at positions 1006 to 1382 of the family's 1533-position model. Lineage: Bacteria; Pseudomonadati; Pseudomonadota; Gammaproteobacteria; Chromatiales; Halothiobacillaceae. The record is from RNAcentral.